CGAACGGUCCUUUUCAGGACCAACACGAAGUAUUUAACAAGGGAAGU
Non-coding RNA from Trachymyrmex cornetzi, 47 nucleotides. Lineage: Eukaryota; Metazoa; Arthropoda; Insecta; Hymenoptera; Formicidae. The record is from Rfam.